Molecule: ribosomal RNA, 264 nt
Filed under: uncultured bacterium
Lineage: Bacteria
Description: partial 16S ribosomal RNA
Rfam family: Bacterial small subunit ribosomal RNA
Source: RNAcentral
GUCCACGCCCUAAACGAUGCACGUUUGGUGUGGGUGAUUCAGUUCAUCCGUGCCGGAGCUAACGCGUUAAACGUGCCGCCUGGGGAGUACAGUCGCAAGGCUGAAACUCAAAGGAAUUGACGGGGGCCCGCACAAGCGGUGGAGCAUGUGGUUCAAUUAGACGCAACGCGAAGAACCUUACCUGGGCUCGAACGGCUGGUCAACGGUCGCUGAAAGGCGGCUACCCCGCAAGGGGGUCCAGUCGAGGUGCUGCAUGGCUGUCGU